CCCCAGACUCCUACGGGAGGCAGCAGUGGGGGAUAUUGCACAAUGGGGGAAACCCUGAUGCAGCGACGCCGCGUGAGUGAAGAAGUAUUUCGGUAUGUAAAGCUCUAUCAGCAGGGAAGAAGAAAGACGGUACCUGAGUAAGAAGCCCCGGCUAACUACGUGCCAGCAGCCGCGGUAAUACGUAGGGGGCAAGCGUUAUCCGGAUUUACUGGGUGUAAAGGGAGCGUAGACGGUAUGGCAAGUCUGAAGUGAAAGCCCCGGGCUCAACCUGGGAACUGCUCUGGAAACUGUGCGGCUAGAGUACUGGAGGGGCAGGCGGAAUUCCUAGUGUAGCGGUGAAAUGCGUAGAUAUUAGGAGGAACACCAGUGGCGAAGGCGGCCUGCUGGACAGUAACUGACGUUGAGGCUCGAAAGCGUGGGGAGCAAACAGGAUUAGAUACCCCCGUAGUU
RNAcentral lists this ribosomal RNA (450 nucleotides) under uncultured bacterium. RNAcentral describes it as "bacterial SSU rRNA". It matches the Rfam family "Bacterial small subunit ribosomal RNA", at positions 329 to 795 of the family's 1533-position model. The record is from RNAcentral.